Molecule: ribosomal RNA, 551 nt
Filed under: uncultured Wolbachia sp.
Lineage: Bacteria; Pseudomonadati; Pseudomonadota; Alphaproteobacteria; Rickettsiales; Anaplasmataceae
Description: bacterial SSU rRNA
Rfam family: Bacterial small subunit ribosomal RNA
Source: RNAcentral
AAUGUAUAGGAAUCUACCUAGUAGUACGGAAUAAUUGUUGGAAACGGCAACUAAUACCGUAUACGCCCUACGGGGGAAAGAUUUAUCGCUAUUAGAUGAGCCUAUAUUAGAUUAGCUAGUUGGUAAGGUAAUGGCUUACCAAGGCAAUGAUCUAUAGCUGAUCUGAGAGGAUGAUCAGCCACACUGGAACUGCGAUACGGUCCAGACUCCUACGGGAGGCAGCAGUGGGGAAUAUUGGANAAUGGGCGAAAGCCUGAUCCAGCCAUGCCGCAUGAGUGAAGAAGGCCUUUGGGUUGUAAAGCUCUUUCGGUGAGGAAGAUAAUGACGGUACUCACAGAAGAAGUCCUGGCUAACUCCGUGCCAGCAGCCGCGGUAAUACGGAGAGGGCUAGCGUUAUUCGGAAUUAUUGGGCGUAAAGAGCGCGUAGGCUGGUUAGUAAGUUAAAAGUGAAAUCCCAAAGCUCAACUUUGGAAUUGCUUUNAAAACUGCUAACCUANAGGUUGAAAGAGGAUAGAGGAAUUCCUAGUGUAGAGGUGAAAUUCGUAAAUAUU